Long non-coding RNA from Lagenorhynchus albirostris (white-beaked dolphin), 1391 nucleotides. RefSeq lists it as uncharacterized. NCBI's taxonomy places the organism in Eukaryota, Metazoa, Chordata, Mammalia, Artiodactyla, Delphinidae. The record is from RefSeq and is a predicted model, not a curated record. The transcript is spliced from 3 exons.
UGGGUUGGAGGUCGCUGUGCCUUCUGGGAAUCGGUCGAGCGCCGCAGGAGCGGGACGUUAGGUCAGCGGAGACCUCGGCGUGGGAUUAGGCCGGGAGUGGCCACAGCUUCGUUCAUUGGGCAGCUACCGGGGCCGGCCACGCUCCGUGAGCCCCUAUGACGAAGCCCCUUCUUGUCUCCCCAGAGCUCAGCCCGGGCCGCUGCACCUCCCUCCAAAUGUGGAUAAAGUUUCCACCCUUUGGCUCAGCCUUUUAAGGAACCUUUGUGACAGCAGAGGUGGUUUGCUCUGACACUAACCAGACUUCACUUUCUGGACGCCCACUUACCCAGGCCCAGUCUAUGGCCAUGGAAGGGAUCUUAGCAACGUGUUUACAAGAUAAUGUUUUUAUAAAAUUAGCAAAACUAAGAUAUUUUAACCCACAUCUGUUAAGACAGCUGCCUCUUUCCACUGGGACUUUCCUAUCUGGGAGCACUCAAGUAGCUAGGGCAGCUUGGGGCAUUUUUAAGUAGGGUCUUCCCGUGAGUAGGGCUUGAGUGUGUCUACUUGGCCUGCCUUUGGGUUCUGGGUUGUGCAGAGUUCAGAGGAGUUAUCUUUACUGAGAGGCCCAGUAAAGAUAAAAGGGAAAAAGUUGUGUUUCUGAAGUGUCUCCAAAUCUCCAAUGGUGGCAGACCUCAUCCACCCCUGCCAGCGAUGAAAGAAGGCCGGGAUCUGGUGAGAGAGAACCAUCAGAAGAACUGCAGCCAUGGGUCCUCCCUCUGUGUCAGGGUACUGUUUUAGGCACUGAGGACAUAGCAGAGAACGGAACAGGCUCAAGGAGAAGAGGUAAGUUCAGAAACAUAAAAGAAAUAAAGAAAUAUUCAGAAGCAUCUGAAUUUUUGACCCUCUGAUCAACACCACCAGAAAAGGAAAAAGAGAAACACGAUGGUCCAGGCUGGAGGAGUCAUCCUAGACCAUGAGGUGGAAGCCAUAUGCCGAGGAUGGCAAAGCAACAAGAUAGAGGGCAACUGGCUCCCCAUCACCAUGGAGUAGCCCUAGCAGCCCCAGACUGUUAAACUCAGACUAUAUAUGACAAGGUAAUAAAUUUCUAACCUGUGUAAACUACAUUUUUUGGUCUUUAUCAUAGAAGUUACGCCUAUAUUCUUAGUGACUGUUACAGACUGAAUGUUUGUGCCCCCUCAAAGUUCAUAUGGUGAAAUCCUAACCCCCAGUGGUAUUAGGAGGUGGGACCUUUGGGAGGUGAUUAGGUCAUGAGGGUGGAGCUCUCAUGAAUGGGAUUAGUGUCUUCAUAAAAGAGGCUCCAGAGACUCUCUUGCCCCUUCUACCAUGUGAGGACACAGUGAGAAGACGGUCAUCUGUGAUCUAGGAAGGGGCCUUGCAGCAGACACCGAAUC